Long non-coding RNA from Coregonus clupeaformis (lake whitefish), 253 nucleotides. RefSeq lists it as uncharacterized. The record is from RefSeq and is a predicted model, not a curated record. NCBI's taxonomy places the organism in Eukaryota, Metazoa, Chordata, Actinopteri, Salmoniformes, Salmonidae. The transcript has 3 exons.
GUUUCAAAAGCAAAGUAUUCAUGUUUUUCCUUCUGUUUUCUCAGUUAGUCCAAGUGGCAGCCAGGAAGAAGCUGGCCAAGACAGAGCAUCAGAAUCAGACCAAGAGCUGCCAUCCCUGCUUGAUGAGCCUGUGGCUUCUGAGAUGCCUGCUGGAUACAUUAAAGAUCUUCAAGCAGUGGAGAUGAGGAUAAUGGUGGAACUGGAGAUGAUCCGUACAGAGUUCAGGACUGCUCUGAACCAAGUUAUGGAGGCC